Molecule: ribosomal RNA, 253 nt
Filed under: uncultured bacterium
Lineage: Bacteria
Description: partial 16S ribosomal RNA
Rfam family: Bacterial small subunit ribosomal RNA
Source: RNAcentral
GACAGAGGGUGCAAACGUUGUUCGGAAUUACUGGGCGUAAAGCGCGUGUAGGCGGCCCUGCAAGUCGGGUGUGAAAUCCCACGGCUCAACCGUGGAAGUGCACUCGAAACUGCAGGGCUAGAGUCCUGGAGAGGAAGGUGGAAUGCUUGGUGUAGAGGUGAAAUUCGUAGAUAUCAAGCGGAACACCGGUGGCGAAGGCGGGUCUCUGGGCCGAUACUGACGCUGAGGAGCGAAAGCGUGGGGAGCGAACAGG